This 416-nucleotide ribosomal RNA is filed under the name uncultured bacterium. RNAcentral describes it as "bacterial SSU rRNA". It matches the Rfam family "Bacterial small subunit ribosomal RNA", at positions 8 to 423 of the family's 1533-position model. The record is from RNAcentral.
AGAGUUUGAUCCUGGCUCAGAAUGAACGCUGGCGGCGUGCCUAACACAUGCAAGUCGGAUGUGCCCGCAAGGGUGCAUGGCAGACGGGUGAGUAACGCGUGGGGAAUCUACCUCUUUGUGGGGAAUAACGCUCCGAAAGGAGUGGUAAUACCGCAUGAGAUCCAUGGCUGGAAUGUUGUGGAUGAAACCUGGGGACCUUCGGGCCUGGGGCAAGGAGAGGAUCCUGCGUCUGAUUAGCUAGUUGGUGAGGUAACGGCCCACCAAGGCAACGAUCAGUAGCCGGCCUGAGAGGGUGAUCGGCCACACUGGAACUGAGACACGGUCCAGACUCCUACGGGAGGCAGCAGUGGGGAAUUUUGCGCAAUGGGCGAAAGCCUGACGCAGCAACGCCGCGUGGGUGAUGAAGGUCUUCGGAU